RNAcentral lists this transfer-messenger RNA (413 nucleotides) under Bacteroidales bacterium. It matches the Rfam family "transfer-messenger RNA". From Rfam's summary of the family: Bacterial tmRNA, also known as 10Sa RNA or SsrA, is named for its dual tRNA and mRNA-like properties. Lineage: Bacteria; Pseudomonadati; Bacteroidota; Bacteroidia; Bacteroidales. The record is from RNAcentral.
GGGGCUGACCUGGUUUUGACAGCAUGAGUGGUGUUAUGUAAGCAUGCAGUGUGUGGUGACGCGUCACUUUUACAGAGUCACAAAACAACAAAAGGCGAAAACAAUUACGCUCUCGCGGCAUAAGCGAAUAAAGUAGCUUAAGCACUUCCGCCGAAAGGCAGAAUCUCCGGGCACAUGUGUCCGGACGAGACGUUUCCCGGGCGGUCAUGCCCUGAUCCAACCCGAUACGGAGACGCACGCAAUCCGGGGCUAGUCUGAAGGUUGUUCCGACCCGAUGGCGAAAUAAACAGGAAAUAAGGAUCAGUUAGGUUGUUCUGCAGCUGACAGAUCACGAAAAUCAAGCAGAGAUAAGCAUGUAGAAAGCAUAUGACUUCCGUGUUUGGACGCGGGUUCGACUCCCGCCAGCUCCACGA